UACGUAGGGUCCGAGCGUUGUCCGGAGUUACUGGGCGUAAAGCGCGCGCAGGCGGCUCGGCAAGCAUGGCGUGAAAGCCCCCGGCUCAACCGGGGAGAGUCGUCGUGGACUGCCGGGCUUGAGGGCGGUAGGGGUUGGUGGAAUUCCCGGUGUAGUGGUGAAAUGCGUAGAGAUCGGGAGGAACACCCGUGGCGAAGGCGGCCAACUGGGCCGACCCUGACGCUGAGGCGCGAAGGCGUGGGGAGCGAGCGGG
Molecule: ribosomal RNA, 253 nt
Filed under: uncultured bacterium
Lineage: Bacteria
Description: partial 16S ribosomal RNA
Rfam family: Bacterial small subunit ribosomal RNA
Source: RNAcentral